RNAcentral lists this ribosomal RNA (818 nucleotides) under Leotiomycetes sp. Its description in RNAcentral is "eukaryotic LSU rRNA". The stretch from base 344 to 818 matches the Rfam family "Eukaryotic large subunit ribosomal RNA", at positions 1 to 480 of the family's 3401-position model. Lineage: Eukaryota; Fungi; Ascomycota; Leotiomycetes. The record is from RNAcentral.
UCUGAAUGUUAGUGAUGUCUGAGUACUAUAUAAUAGUUAAAACUUUCAACAACGGAUCUCUUGGUUCUGGCAUCGAUGAAGAACGCAGCGAAAUGCGAUAAGUAAUGUGAAUUGCAGAAUUCAGUGAAUCAUCGAAUCUUUGAACGCACAUUGCGCCCGGUGGUAUUCCGCCGGGCAUGCCUGUUCGAGCGUCAUUAUAACCAAUCAUGCCUGGCAUGGUGUUGGGGCACGCGGUCUCGCGGCCCUCAAAAUCAGUGGCGGUGCCGGUAGGCUCUAAGCGUAGUAAUUCUUCUCGCUACAGGGUCCUGCGGGUGGCUUGCCAGAACCCCCCAUUUUUUCAGGUUGACCUCGGAUCAGGUAGGGAUACCCGCUGAACUUAAGCAUAUCAAUAAGCGGAGGAAAAGAAACCAACAGGGAUUACCUCAGUAACGGCGAGUGAAGCGGUAACAGCUCAAAUUUGAAAGCUCCCCACAGGGCGCAUUGUAAUUUGUAGAGGAUGCUUUGGGGGUCGGCCCGGUUUAAGUUCCUUGGAACAGGACGUCAUAGAGGGUGAGAAUCCCGUAUGUGACCGGUGCUAGCCUUCGUGUAAAGCUCCUUCGACGAGUCGAGUUGUUUGGGAAUGCAGCUCAAAAUGGGUGGUAUAUUUCAUCUAAAGCUAAAUAUUGGCCAGAGACCGAUAGCGCACAAGUAGAGUGAUCGAAAGAUGAAAAGCACUUUGGAAAGAGAGUUAAACAGUACGUGAAAUUGUUGAAAGGGAAGCGCUUGCAAUCAGACUUGCGGGCGGUCGAUCAUCCGAGCUUCUGCCCGGUGCACUCGAU